GGCACUAUGGCGGAGUGGUUAACGCGAUGCCCUGCUAUUUUAAAUCCCAAAUCGCAGAAAAUUAUUAAUUAGUUAAGGCAUUUCCUUCGGGAGCGCAGGUUCGAAUCCUGCUGGUGUCG
Molecule: transfer RNA, 119 nt
Rfam family: tRNA
About the family: Transfer RNA (tRNA) molecules are approximately 80 nucleotides in length. Their secondary structure includes four short double-helical elements and three loops (D, anti-codon, and T loops).
Source: Rfam